CGGCGUGCCUAAUACAUGCAAGUCGAGCGGUAAGGCCCUUCGGGGUACACGAGCGGCGGACGGCUGAGUAACACGUAGGAACGUACCCCAAACUGAGGGAUAAUUCCGAGAAAUCGGGACUAAUACCGCAUGUGCUCUUCGGAGUAAAGCUUCGGCGGUUUGGGAACGGCCUGCGUCCGAUUAGCUAGUUGGCGGGGUAAAUGCCCACCAAGGCGACGAUCGGUAGCUGGUCUGAGAGGAUGAUCAGCCAGACUGGGACUGAGACACGGCCCAGACUCC
RNAcentral lists this ribosomal RNA (279 nucleotides) under uncultured bacterium. Its description in RNAcentral is "partial 16S ribosomal RNA". It matches the Rfam family "Bacterial small subunit ribosomal RNA", at positions 40 to 339 of the family's 1533-position model. The record is from RNAcentral.